CCCUGCCAUUUGUACACACCGCCCGUUGCUCCUACCGAUUGAAUGAUCUGGUGAAGUGUUCGGAUUGCGUCGACGAUGGCAGUUUUCCACUGUCGACGUCGUGAGAAGUUCAUUGAACCUUAUAAUUU
Molecule: ribosomal RNA, 128 nt
Filed under: uncultured eukaryote
Lineage: Eukaryota
Description: partial small subunit ribosomal RNA
Rfam family: Eukaryotic small subunit ribosomal RNA
Source: RNAcentral